AACCAUUGGUGUUGACACCCUAAACAGCUAACAAGCGAAUAACUUUAUUUGCUCCAUGGUUAGUGGGAUAAAGUUGUGGAAAACGUAAAAAGGUAGGGGGGAGAGCUUUGGUUUGUUAAAGUUAUUUUGCUCUCACUCCAAAAAUAAGUUUAAAGUGGUUAAAUACUGAUAUGGCCUAAAUCUGAUCCGCCCAUCAUGGGUCGACACAUGGCGAGCAUUUUGAAAAGAUUUGAAUUUCAAAUCAAUUUGAAUUC
This 254-nucleotide long non-coding RNA is filed under the name Phoenix dactylifera (date palm). RNAcentral describes it as "long non-coding RNA (PDAC_LNC007931)". Lineage: Eukaryota; Viridiplantae; Streptophyta; Magnoliopsida; Arecales; Arecaceae. The record is from RNAcentral.